AGUGAACGCUGGCGGUAGGCCUAACACAUGCAAGUCGAACGGCAGCACAGUAAGAGCUUGCUCUUACGGGUGGCGAGUGGCGGACGGGUGAGGAAUACAUCGGAAUCUACUUUUUCGUGGGGGAUAACGUAGGGAAACUUACGCUAAUACCGCAUACGACCUACGGGUGAAAGCAGGGGAUCUUCGGACCUUGCGCGAUUGAAUGAGCCGAUGUCGGAUUAGCUAGUUGGCGGGGUAAAGGCCCACCAAGGCGACGAUGCGUAGCUGGCCUGAGAGGAUGAUCAGCCACACUGGAACUGAGACACGGUCCAGACUCCUACGGGAGGCAGCAGUGGGGAAUAUUGGACAAUGGGCGCAAGCCUGAUCCAGCCAUACCGCGUGAGUGAAGAAGGCCUUCGGGUUGUAAAGCCCUUUUGUUGGGAAAGAAAAGCAGCAGGUUAAUACCCCGCUGUUCUGACGGUACCCAAAGAAUAAGCACCGGCUAACUUCGUG
This 492-nucleotide ribosomal RNA is filed under the name uncultured bacterium. RNAcentral's name for it is "partial 16S ribosomal RNA". It matches the Rfam family "Bacterial small subunit ribosomal RNA", at positions 29 to 507 of the family's 1533-position model. The record is from RNAcentral.